UGGGAACGUACCCUUUGGUUCGGAACAACCCAGGGAAACUUGGGCUAAAUAACCGGAUAAGUCCGUAAGGAGAAAGAUUUAUCGCCAAAGGAUCGGCCCGCGUCUGAUUAGCUAGUUGGUAGGGUAAUGGCCACCAAGGCGACGACGGGUAGCCGGCCUGAGAGGAUGACCGGCCACACUGGGACUGAGACACGGCCCAGACUCCUACGGGAGGCAG
This 217-nucleotide ribosomal RNA is filed under the name uncultured bacterium. Its description in RNAcentral is "partial 16S ribosomal RNA". It matches the Rfam family "Bacterial small subunit ribosomal RNA", at positions 118 to 351 of the family's 1533-position model. The record is from RNAcentral.